Molecule: ribosomal RNA, 529 nt
Filed under: uncultured bacterium
Lineage: Bacteria
Description: bacterial SSU rRNA
Rfam family: Bacterial small subunit ribosomal RNA
Source: RNAcentral
AAUAGAUACCCGGGUAGUCCACGCCGUAAACGAUGAGUGCUAAGUGUUAGAGGGUUUCCGCCCUUUAGUGCUGCAGCUAACGCAUUAAGCACUCCGCCUGGGGAGUACAGCCGCAAGGCUGAAACUCAAAGGAAUUGACGGGGGCCCGCACAAGCGGUGGAGCAUGUGGUUUAAUUCGAAGCAACGCGAAGAACCUUACCAGGUCUUGACAUCCUCUGACAACCCUAGAGAUAGGGCUUUCCCCUUCGGGGGACAGAGUGACAGGUGGUGCAUGGUUGUCGUCAGCUCGUGUCGUGAGAUGUUGGGUUAAGUCCCGCAACGAGCGCAACCCUUGAUCUUAGUUGCCAGCAUUCAGUUGGGCACUCUAAGGUGACUGCCGGUGACAAACCGGAGGAAGGUGGGGAUGACGUCAAAUCAUCAUGCCCCUUAUGACCUGGGCUACACACGUGCUACAAUGGAUGGUACAAAGGGCUGCAAACCUGCGAAGGUAAGCGAAUCCCAUAAAGCCAUUCUCAGUUCGGAUUGCAGG